RNAcentral lists this ribosomal RNA (321 nucleotides) under Triticum aestivum (bread wheat). RNAcentral's name for it is "partial small subunit ribosomal RNA". Lineage: Eukaryota; Viridiplantae; Streptophyta; Magnoliopsida; Poales; Poaceae. The record is from RNAcentral.
AUGGCAUCCCUGCAAAUAGGUGCACGAUGCCUAGGAGCGAGGCUCUGCAACACCUACCAAAGAGCCAAGCUGGGAUUGAGCAAGAGUGCAAUGUCGGGGCUCAUGAAGCUUGACUACGAAUCUACGAUGAUCGUGCCGAGACAGCACCACCUGCCAUUAGCGUUCCUCCUCCAUCUCGCGCCCCACACUCGUCUGAGCCGGGUUGGGGCCAAGCAUCUGGCAACCAACGAUGUCGGCGAUGCUAAUUCCUCCUUGCUGUCAUCAUCAUCCUCAUCAACAAGGAAGGCCAGGACCUCAUCAGCGACGGAGGGCAACAAUUGA